This is a non-coding RNA of Plectropomus leopardus (leopard coralgrouper), 474 nucleotides long. NCBI's taxonomy places the organism in Eukaryota, Metazoa, Chordata, Actinopteri, Perciformes, Serranidae. The record is from RefSeq and is a predicted model, not a curated record.
GUUGACAGCUAUACCUUUCUCAUUGUUGGGCAUCACAAAAGCAAGACUGACAACUUCCACAUCACCAUGGGUGCUCAAUGUUGGAGUUAAUGGACAGAGCUCAUCAGGCCAGUGUUAGUUCAACUCUCCACCCACAGGCGCCCACACAUUUCACUUCUACAGCUGGAGACUAUGAGACAAGUCGGAGCCAUUUUGUUCCUCACAUGCAGCUCUACAGGGCACAUCCAUACUUACGCAACCAGAAGAAAAGACUAUGCUUCUAUGAUACUGAUGCUGUUCCCCUCCCUUAAGGAUUCAUACACCAAGGAAGGCUAUGAACACUUCUAUGAUGCUGCAAGCAGCACAGGAUACAUUUCUCAGCAUCUGAAAACAGUCCAGAAGAAGGUCAGCAUCCCCAUCUUGCACUGGCUUUCAAGCUGCAGUUUGGAGGAGCAUCUCCACAACCAGCGUGGUCCAACUUCUACAUCACCACGG